Non-coding RNA from Ictidomys tridecemlineatus (thirteen-lined ground squirrel), 72 nucleotides. Lineage: Eukaryota; Metazoa; Chordata; Mammalia; Rodentia; Sciuridae. The record is from Rfam.
GGGGUUGUAGCUUAGUGGUAGAGCACUUUCCUUGCAUGUGUGUGGCCCUGGGUUCAAUCCUCAGCAUCACAU